CUGAUCCACCCACAGAAUUCUGCCCAGUUACCUUGGAUCCACCAGCCAGAACAAGCCUCGUGGUACACAACAAGAUUCCACCUAGAAUCCAACCGAUACACCAUUGGAAACAUAUCUAUGGAUGUCAUACAACAGGGCCUGCUGGAAUGAUUCUACAGACCGACGUAUGAGUCCUCGGUGCAGUACCAUGUCAGUGCCAUCCAAAAUGUAGCAUCUGCAUUUGGGAGAUAAUGCUGAAGGACUCUGAGGCCUCAUGUUGUCUUUGGAAAUAACAGACCACUCUUCGGCAAGUGUCCUGUGCCAAGGGCUGGGUGAGUGGAUGUUUACAUUACUGUGUACAUGGGAGCAA
Camelus dromedarius (Arabian camel) is the source of this 349-nucleotide long non-coding RNA. RefSeq lists it as uncharacterized. The record is from RefSeq and is a predicted model, not a curated record. The transcript has 3 exons. Lineage: Eukaryota; Metazoa; Chordata; Mammalia; Artiodactyla; Camelidae.